RNAcentral lists this ribosomal RNA (441 nucleotides) under uncultured bacterium. RNAcentral describes it as "partial 16S ribosomal RNA". It matches the Rfam family "Bacterial small subunit ribosomal RNA", at positions 339 to 795 of the family's 1533-position model. The record is from RNAcentral.
CUACGGGGGGCUGCAGUGAGGAAUCUUGGACAAUGGGCGAAAGCCUGAUCCAGCGACGCCGCGUGGGUGACGAAGGCCUUCGGGUUGUAAAGCCCUGUCAGAGGGGAAGAAGUUCUGACGGUACCCUCAGAGGAAGCACAGGCUAACUCCGUGCCAGCAGCCGCGGUAAUACGGAGUGUGCAAGCGUUGCUCGGAAUCACUGGGCGUAAAGGGCGCGUAGGCGGCUUGGUAAGUUGGAUGUGAAAGCCCUCGGCUCAACCGAGGGACUGCAUCCAAAACUGCCUGGCUAGAGUACGGAAGAGGAAGGCGGAAUUCCCAGUGUAGGGGUGAAAUCCGUAGAUAUUGGGAAGAACACCAGUGGCGAAGGCGGCCUUCUGGGACGAUACUGACGCUGAGGCGCGAAAGCGUGGGGAGCAAACAGGAUUAGAUACCCGAGUAGUC